This 866-nucleotide ribosomal RNA is filed under the name uncultured bacterium. RNAcentral describes it as "bacterial SSU rRNA". It matches the Rfam family "Bacterial small subunit ribosomal RNA", at positions 1 to 843 of the family's 1533-position model. The record is from RNAcentral.
CCGCGGGAUAGAGUUUGAUCCUGGCUCAGAAUCAACCCUGGCGGCGUGCCUAAUACAUGCAAGUCGAACGCGAAAGUCCCGCAAGGGAUGAGUAGAGUGGCAAACGGGUGAGUAACACGUGGGUGACCUGCCUUCGAGCGGGGGAUAACGUCCCGAAAGGGACGCUAAUACCGCAUGACAUCCUGCCUUUGAAGAGGCGGAGAUCAAAGCUGGGGAUCGCAAGACCUGGCACUUGAAGAGGGGCCCGCGCCUGAUUAGCUAGUUGGUGGGGUAACGGCUCACCAAGGCAACGAUCAGUAUCCGGCCUGAGAGGGCGGACGGACACACUGGGACUGAGACACGGCCCAGACUCCUACGGGAGGCAGCAGUAGGGAAUUGUUCGCAAUGGGCGCAAGCCUGACGACGCAACGCCGCGUGGAGGAUGAAGACCUUCGGGUCGUAAACUCCUUUCGAUCGAGACGAAUGGCUUCCGGCUGAAUAAUCCGGGAGAAUGACGGUACCGAGAGAAGAAGCCCCGGCUAACUCCGUGCCAGCAGCCGCGGUAAUACGGGGGGGGCAAGCGUUGUUCGGAAUUACUGGGCGUAAAGGGCUCGUAGGUGGCCAACUAAGUCAGACGUGAAAUCCCUCGGCUUAACCGGGGAACUGCGUCUGAUACUGGAUGGCUUGAGAUUGGGAGAGGGAUGCGGAAUUCCAGGUGUAGCGGUGAAAUGCGUAGAUAUCUGGAGGAACACCGGUGGCGAAGGCGGCAUCCUGGACCAACACUGACACUGAGGAGCGAAAGCCAGGGGAGCAAACGGGAUUAGAUACCCCGGUAGUCCUGGCCCUAAACGGUGAAUGCUUGGUGUGGCGGGUAUCGAUCCCUGCCG